AAUGAACGCUGGCGGCGCGCCUAAUACAUGCAAGUCGAGCGAGAAGACGUAGCAAUACGUUUGUAAAGCGGCGAACGGGUGAGGAAUACAUGGGUAACCUACCCUAGAGUGGGGAAUAACUAGCCGAAAGGUUAGCUAAUACCGCGUACGCUCCUUGGACUUCGGUUCAGGGAGGGAAGCGAUACCGUGGGUAUCGCGCUCUUGGAUGGGCUCAUGUCCUAUCAGCUUGUUGGUGAGGUAACGGCUCACCAAGGCUUCGACGGGUAGCUGGUCUGAGAGGACGAUCAGCCACACUGGCACUGCGACACGGGCCAGACUCCUACGGGAGGCAGCAGUAAGGAAUAUUGCGCAAUGGGCGAAAGCCUGACGCAGCGACGCCGCGUGGGGGAGUGAAGGUCUUCGGA
Molecule: ribosomal RNA, 404 nt
Filed under: uncultured bacterium
Lineage: Bacteria
Description: bacterial SSU rRNA
Rfam family: Bacterial small subunit ribosomal RNA
Source: RNAcentral